GCAUAGCGACUAUCGUGGCAUAUCAAUAAGCGGAGGAAAAGAAACUAACUAGGAUUCCCUCAGUAACGGCGAGUGAAGCGGGAAGAGCUCAAAUUUGAAAUCUUCAAGGUUUUACCUUGACGAAUUGUAGUUUAAAGAAGUGUUUUCUGUUGGAAUUUUGGUAAAAGUUCUUUGGAAAAAGACAUCAAAGAGGGUGAGAAUCCCGUAUUUGACCAUUAUUUCCAGCUUUGUGAUACACUUUCAAAGAGUCGGAUUGUUUGGGAAUGCAGUCCAAAAUGGGUGGUAAAUUUCAUCUAAAGCUAAAUAUUGGCGAGAGACCGAUAGCGAACAAGUACCGUGAGGGAAAGAUGAAAAGAACUUUGAAAAGAGAGUUAAACAGUACGUGAAAUUGUCAAAAGGGAAGCGUUUGACACCAGUGUUGUUUUCUCGAAAAUCAAUUAAAAAAGAUUGGAUUUUGUGUUGUAUAGACUUCAUCAGCUUUCUGCACUCUUUUCUUGUCUUUUUUAAUGCACUUUUCGUUUAACAAGUCAACAUCAAUUUCUUUUGUUGUAAAAGGGUUAUUGGAAGGUGGCUUUCUUUUCGGAGAAAGCGUUUAUAGCCUUUAACCUCUGCAAUCGGAGAGAUUGAGGUCUGCAGCGUAGAUCCUUCGGGGUUAGAUACAUUUGUGCUAAGUUAUGGCUUUUCAUAGACAACUUGUUGACUAUGUUAAGUCUUGUAGCUUACUCGCUUAUGCUAUUUUACCUACGCUUAGGAUGUUGACGAGACUGUCGAUCUCAUACAUGACUCUGUGCAUAUCAAUAAGCGGAGGAAAAGCGGAUCAUAUCUGCAUACCUACGCUUAGGAUGUUGACGAGACUGUCGAUCUC
Molecule: ribosomal RNA, 865 nt
Filed under: uncultured Neocallimastigales
Lineage: Eukaryota; Fungi; Neocallimastigomycota; Neocallimastigomycetes; Neocallimastigales
Description: partial large subunit ribosomal RNA
Rfam family: Eukaryotic large subunit ribosomal RNA
Source: RNAcentral